CCUACGGGUGGCAGCAGUGGGGAAUAUUGGACAAUGGGCGAAAGCCUGAUCCAGCCAUGCCGCGUGUGUGAAGAAGGCCUUCGGGUUGUAAAGCACUUUCAGUGGGGAAGAAAGCCUUGGGGCUAAUACCCUCGAGGAAGGACAUCACCCACAGAAGAAGCACCGGCUAACUCCGUGCCAGCAGCCGCGGUGAAUACGGAGGGUGCGAGCGUUAAUCGGAAUUACUGGGCGUAAAGCGCGCGUAGGCGGUCUGAUAAGCCGGUUGUGAAAGCCCCGGGCUCAACCUGGGAACGGCAUCCGGAACUGUCAGGCUAGAGUGCAGGAGAGGAAGGUAGAAUUCCCGGUGUAGCGGUGAAAUGCGUAGAGAUCGGGAGGAAUACCAGUGGCGAAGGCGGCCUUCUGGACUGACACUGACGCUGAGGUGCGAAAGCGUGGGUAGCAAACAGGAUUAGAUACCCCUGUAGUC
RNAcentral lists this ribosomal RNA (466 nucleotides) under Vreelandella stevensii. Its description in RNAcentral is "partial 16S ribosomal RNA". It matches the Rfam family "Bacterial small subunit ribosomal RNA", at positions 338 to 795 of the family's 1533-position model. Lineage: Bacteria; Pseudomonadati; Pseudomonadota; Gammaproteobacteria; Oceanospirillales; Halomonadaceae. The record is from RNAcentral.